GUAUUCAUUCGGUCGUCAGAUGUAACGUUUCGUUCGUAGUUAAUUAGCGCGGUGUUUGGACGCUAUACGAUGAAGUGUAGUGUAGUAGAACAGUUGCUAUAGAGCAUACAGUAACAACAACACUAAUUGGGAUCGGUUGUGAUCUGUGAACAUAAAAAUGCAAAUAUGGCCGCCACUUGUUGGAUGAUGAAUUUUGUUUUAAAGAAAAGGAAGUGUUAAAAAAAAGUACGUAAACUUAUGAGUUUGUAAGGAAGAGAUAAAGAUUAGAAAAGUGCUUAAUCGGAAAUUUUACCGAUAUAGUGAAAUGGAAUUUUUCCUGGAUAAUCAGUAAAGGCGUAAAGUGAAUGAAAAUGAAAAGAGAAUGAAAAGAAAAUAGAAGGAAAUAUGUAAGAUCAUGGAAUGAGAGGAGUACCAUAGUAAAAGAAGAAGUGAUUUAAUGAAAGUAAAAAGCUAAUUAAGGAGCUCAUAUGCUUUGCAUGCAAAAUAGAAGUGCACAAUCUAUAUAUGUACAUACAUGCACAAUAUAUGAAAGCAGUAUUCACUAUACAUAUUUUAAAUAGAGUAGAAGCAACGAAUAUGAAGCAAAAUGCUAACAUACAUAAGUUCGAGAUUAAAAAAUGAAGUGAACGAAGAAGAAAUAAUACACAAUUAAAUAAUAAAACGACGAAUAAACUUAACAAAAGAAAAAAUAUCUAAAUGGUCGCGGCCACUUGGCAACAGCUUUUCGAUAACAAAGCGAAAUGAAAACAUAACGUAGCAACAAUAACAAAUGCUGCAUUAAAUCUGCACUGCAUUGCACCUUCAACAGUAGAACUACAAUUAAAAAGUACUCAUAUUUGAAGCAAAACUUAUUAAUACAAAGUGAACGAAUAGUUAGUGGAAAAAAUUUGCAAUACUUUUCUCUUGCUUACGACGAGUAUCAAUAGCUUUCUUCAGACACGCAUUGCGCGAAACUCAAUUUACAAAACAUUCUAAAGAAAACGUGAAAAUCGUGCAAAAUACCAAAAAUAAAAACAUCCGCGGUAUAAUUGGAAUGGAAAAGAGAGCAUCAAAAUCUUGAUAUGUGCAUACAUUCAUACAUAUGUACAUACUCGGGUAUUCUACACUCAACAAUUCGACACAUCUCUUAAAAGUUGAUUUUCUGAUUCGCUGCUGACAAAAAAAUUAAAAAA
Rhagoletis zephyria (snowberry fruit fly) is the source of this 1172-nucleotide long non-coding RNA. RefSeq lists it as uncharacterized. NCBI's taxonomy places the organism in Eukaryota, Metazoa, Arthropoda, Insecta, Diptera, Tephritidae. The record is from RefSeq and is a predicted model, not a curated record.